UGGUGGAGUGAUUUGUCUGGUUAAUUCCGUUAACGAACGAGACCUCGACCUGCUAACUAGGUUGGCGAACACCUCGGUGUUCGACCAACACUUCUUAGAGGGACUAUCGGUGUUCUAGCCGAUGGAAGUUCGAGGCAAUAACA
This 143-nucleotide ribosomal RNA is filed under the name uncultured eukaryote. Its description in RNAcentral is "partial 18S ribosomal RNA". It matches the Rfam family "Eukaryotic small subunit ribosomal RNA", at positions 1299 to 1458 of the family's 1831-position model. The record is from RNAcentral.